GGAUUAGAUACCCUGGUAGUCCACGCUGUAAACGAUGAUAACUAGGUGUUCGGGUUAAUUGAGACCUGAGUGCCCAAGCGAAAGCGAUAAGUUAUCCACCUGGGGAGUACGUCCGCAAGGAUGAAACUCAAAGGAAUUGACGGGGGCCCGCACAAGCGGUGGAGCAUGUGGUUUAAUUCGAUGAUACGCGAGGAACCUUACCUGGGCUAGAAUGUGCGUGACCGCUCCUGAAAGGGAGCUUUCUUCGGACACAAAACAAGGUGCUGCAUGGUUGUCGUCAGCUCGUGUUG
Molecule: ribosomal RNA, 290 nt
Filed under: uncultured bacterium
Lineage: Bacteria
Description: partial 16S ribosomal RNA
Rfam family: Bacterial small subunit ribosomal RNA
Source: RNAcentral